UGUUGUUUGUAAAUUGUUUAUUGAAUGGACGAGACAGUCAAUGGAUCGAGAAAUCCCGAGUUAUAUACUGUAAUCUUGUGUACUGGAACAUGCUAGCUAAUUUUCAGUCAGCGGCCAAUAAACCAAGCAGGAAAACGACAGAACGGACAGUUACCGUGAAAGCAAACACUGCGCUAAGAACCGAACAAAGCCUGGAAAAGGCCGGAUCAAACCGGUCACGACACACGGGUCUGAGUAGAGAGUAGAUGACAGAAGUUUCUCGAACUUUCUCGCCCGUCCUCCGUCGCUUCUGGGACCCGCGCGAUGUUUUUCCUCGAUAAUAAUAACACGUCGCUAGAUUGAUUUGCUGUAUAAAAACUUAAAAGUAUAUUGUAAAACAAAACAAUAUUGAAAAAAAAAAAAAAAUACACGAAUCAAAGAAAACAUAAUUUCAGAGAUGUUUUACAAUAGUCUGAAACACAGCAUCCGGUCCGAUCACCUGGCUAAAGGUAACGUGACGUCAGUGCUUUAGCCACGCCCUACUACAGUUCAUUUGAGCGGAGUUAACAGUGUGUCACGCUUCUGUACAGUAAUCCGGUCAUAACAGCGUCGAAGAUGAGCCACUUUCUGCUAGUUAUUUGCUCUCUCAUCAUCGCCAGUGCUGCUGAGAUGUCACGAGAGUUUCGUCGAUGCUCUCCCCGAUGGGUUAACGCCAGUCAAGUUAAAGCCAGCUGUAGCGACAUCCAGAUUGCACAGUACUGUGAUCCUGAUCAGAGCUGUAGAAACAUGAGCAAGCCCGGGGUCUCGCUGGAGAAGGACAGGGAAAGAGGACUAUGCCUAACCAUCACCAACUGCUCCUAUGAGUCGUGGUCCUGCGAAGCACUGAGUUACAUCGAUGGCGAAGAAUUUGGGGAGAAUUUUACUGUCAACCUGACGUGCAACCAACCUACUAGCACUUUGCCCAGUCCAGGACUUACAAGCACUUCAGCAACUUCAGGAUCUGCCAGCACUUUGCCCAGUCCAGGCAAUAAUGAGUCAGGGUCUGUUUCAGCUGGGGUCACUGUGCUGAUCAUCGUGUCGAUCAUCUUUGGGCUGACCAUCGUAGUGCUUUGCAUCUGUUACAAGAAGGUAAGUGUUUUCAGAGGCAAAUAAAAUCUUUGUUGGUGAACUGUAAAAAAUCUGUGCAAAUAAAAUCUGUGUUGUUCAAACAGAACAACAAAAGUGCAUUUAAUAUACGAUGAAAUUUGCCCAGAAAACCGUG
RNAcentral lists this long non-coding RNA (1240 nucleotides) under Sinocyclocheilus anshuiensis. Its description in RNAcentral is "lncRNA (ENSSANG00000010235.1)". Lineage: Eukaryota; Metazoa; Chordata; Actinopteri; Cypriniformes; Cyprinidae. The record is from RNAcentral.